GACGAACGCUGGCGGCGUGCUUAACACAUGCAAGUCGAACGGUAAGGCCCUUCGGGGUACACGAGUGGCGAACGGGUGAGUAACACGUGGGUGAUCUGCCCUGCACUUCGGGAUAAGCCUGGGAAACUGGGUCUAAUACCGGAUAGGACCACUGCCUGCAUGGGUGGUGGUGGAAAGCUUUUGCGGUGUGUGAUGGGCCCGCGGCCUAUCUGCUUGUUGGUGGGGUGAUGGCCUACCAAGGCGACGAAGGGUAGCCGGCCUGAGAGGGUGACCGGGCACACUGGGACUGAGAUACGGCCCAGACUCCUACGGGAGGCAGCAAUGGGGAAUAUUGCACAAUGGGCGCAAGCCUGAUGCAGCGACGCCGCGUGAGGGAUGACGGCCUUCGGGUUGUAAACCUCUUUCAGCACCGACGAAGCGCAAGUGACGGUAGGUGCAGAAGAAGGACCGGCCAACUACGUGCCAGCCGCCGCAGUAA
This 478-nucleotide ribosomal RNA is filed under the name uncultured bacterium. RNAcentral describes it as "partial 16S ribosomal RNA". It matches the Rfam family "Bacterial small subunit ribosomal RNA", at positions 28 to 523 of the family's 1533-position model. The record is from RNAcentral.